RNAcentral lists this long non-coding RNA (4092 nucleotides) under Ornithorhynchus anatinus (platypus). RNAcentral describes it as "lncRNA (ENSOANG00000051246.1)". Lineage: Eukaryota; Metazoa; Chordata; Mammalia; Monotremata; Ornithorhynchidae. The record is from RNAcentral.
UCACUCUCCUUGGCCCCAUGCCUGGGGCACCCUCAUAGACUCUACUCUUUUCUUACUGCUGUUCCAGAGUCCUGCUGCUGUUCUAGCUGUGGAGAAACGGUGGGGGUUGUGUCUGUGCUGAUGGCAGCCACGACUUGUUCUCCAGUUGCUUUCUGUGACAGUGGAUGUCCCUGUAAUGAACAAACCUCCUCCGGCUCUGGAUCGGUCAGCUUGAAAGGAGAAUCCAGCCAACGGGAGCAGGACCAUCCAGAGCGGAGAUGGAGGCAAUCAGCCCCAGGGAACACAGAUCCAGGUGGCUGCUUUUCAGAUGCCCAAGGGCUGGACCUGCAGUCUUUGGGCCACACAGGCCUGAUGCUUCUGCCUUGCUGUCCCAUCUCUCCAUGUCUUAGGGCCAUAUCACCGGUCCUCUGCACCUUCGCCGAUGGGAGGAAAGGACCUGAAAGCUCGCUUCGGUCAGGACACUGACUAUUCAGAGCAGGAGAACUACCUAACAGGAGGCUGAAGCUGAAACCCCAAAAGCCAUUGACUUGAUGUUUGUCUCUCAUUUGACUUCCUGUUAUCUUGAUGCCCAUCACAUUCCACCCAUGUCCCUUGGGUUCAGAUUAGAACCAGUCCAGCUAUUUCUUUGGGACUGAAAGAAAGGGUUAAUAAUCCUGAAUAAGAUGAUAUCAUUAUUUCAGGACCAUCAGAGGAUAAGGCAAGAAAUGAAUAAAAAGCUUCCAUCGCAGAUAGACUUCACAGCUCUGAGAGUGAGGUCUGUUUCUCAUCUGAUUCAUUUUCUCACACUAGACUGUCUGUGUCCUUUCCACUUGCUGCGGCGUGGGAUUGAGGUGGGAUCGAGGAAGAGAAAGAUUCAAUAGCAGGCAGAAAGCUGGUCUGGUUUUUCAUGUCCUUUGUAAACACAAUGUCAUUGAGACUAUCUUGAUCUUAGACUACUUGUUUGUUUGGAAAACAGAUGUGGGUAUACUGCACUCAUAAUCCUUCACUGUCACACAUUAUUAUAAAGUCAUUUUAGCAGAACACUUAAAAAAUGCAUUCCUUUGUUGCAAGAGGAAUUAAGAAAAAAACUUUGUGAAGCAAUUUCAUUGCUUUCUUCUGACACUGAGUGCCAGAGUUGGAAGACUUAGGAAAUCAUUUAUUGUAAUAGGGUCCUUGUGGCUAAUGCAGUUGUAUCACAGUGUGUUGGGGCUGCCUGUUUUGCAUUGCAAAUUUGAGCCUUUGUUUAGCUACUUGAAAUUCUGAAUCUUUGCAAGGACAAUCUUGCUCCUAAGCAAGCUCAGUUUGCUGUCUGAGUUCCUAGGCAUCAGACAUCUAGCCAUUACAGUGAAAAAGGUUUAGCAGAGAUCGGCCACCCCGGACAUGGGAGUCUGACCAUCCUGCCUGGGAUGCCACUUUCUAGUCUGGCAAUUGCUGUCAUCAUCAUCGUGUACCCGCCCCUCCCCAGCUUUGUGCCACCAUUGCUUGGCUCCUUCCUCGGGCCUUGCCACCUUUACAUCUCUCCUUUACCAAAGAUAAAGGUGGAUAGAGAAGGGUGGCUUUUCUUGCCCUCAUAUGGGCCUGGCACUAUGGGGUCUGGAGUCUUCUGUCAGCCCCCUGAAGUGGUACCCCACCAUGCCAAAAGCUCUGUCCCCACCCACAUCCCCACUUGCCCAGACAGGUUGUUACAGUGUUGAAAGCCGCAGCUCCACCUGCUGCAGAGCACAAGUGCUUCAGAAAGACAGGGAACUCAGUCUCCCAAAGCAUAUGGUUUCUGCUUCCACAGUCACAUUCUGAGCAUUUGUAUUGGUAGGAAGUGAUAUUCUGUCUUUCUGGUGAUUUAAGAGGCUUGACUUUUCAUUGGAUUUUUCCUCAGAUAAGGUAAGGAAGUUCUUUUUCCAGCUUGUGACAGCUUGCCGUGAGUGAGUUUUUUAAUGUAGUUUUAACUGAAGCUGUGAGUUUUUCAAACCUGGCAAAUAAUGUAAAACAGGCUUUGCAAGAGAUUACCAAGAGGAGUUCCCUCUUCAUUUUCAAUGAGAAGACUGCCUUGAGGUUUGGUGAGAGUUUGGAUGUCAUGACAUGCAAACUCUGACUGAGUCCCUCAUAGACCCUUGGUGGAGUUUAGGGAGAGCAAAGAAAUUCUGAUCCCUUGAAGGGUGAAAUUCUAAAAUUAAUUCCAAAGAUUUUGAGUUGACAAUUUUUUUGAGGAUUGAAUCAACCCCACUAGCUAUAUUCCCGGUUCCAGAACUGGACAGCCUAAGUCCGUCCUGUUGUUUAGUUUAGCUAGAUAGAGAAACUUACGGCUCCGGAUUUUAUGAGAAGCAGUUUGCCUAGUGGGAAUAGCGAAGUCCUGGGAGUCGGGGGGGUCUGGGUUCUAAUCCUGGCUUUGCCACUUGCCUGCAGUGUGACCUGGGGCAAGUGAGUUAACUUCUUCAUGCUUGUUUCCUCAUCUGUUAAAAUGGUGAUGUAAAUGAUGAUCUGUAAAAUGGUAUUCUCCUUCCUUCUUAGACUCUGAAGCCCCCUGUGGGAGAGGGACUGCAUCCAAUCUGACUGUCUUGUAUCUACCCCAGCACUUAGUACAGUGCUUAGCACAUAGGCAUGUAUCAAAUAUUGUUAUUAUUAUCAUUAUUAGGGUAACAUAAUGUCUUCAAAUGCUGAAGCUUGAAUUUAAAAAAUCAGAAAUCAUUUUGGCAAUUAAUAACAGUGUCCUCAUUAACUGAAGGCAUUUGGGGAAAAACAGGUGAGGUGUGGCUGGCCUGUUUCAUGCAUAGAUCAUAUUUUCAUGCAUCCUGAUUAGCUGUAUGAAUCAUAUAGUGGGAAUUUGACUCUAAAAUAAAUAGUAUACAACUUUUCUGAGCCAUUAUAAAGUAAUGAUGAUGUCAAUGAAUACGAAUAAAAAAUAGAAUACCAUUUUUUUCAAAAAUGAUCAAAGUGAUCCUGUCCAGUUCAAAUCUCAGUGAAAUGACAGAGCACAUUUUAAUAGGAAGGGAUGUCAAUAUUCAGGAAUAAUGGAAAUAUAAUCAAUGAACAAGAGCUUUACUUUUUUGAUGAAUUUCAAUUUGAUUUUGGUAAAGUAGUGACUGAGUCUAAAGAAUUAUGCUUGCAAAUUACUUCAAAUUGGCUAAGCUAUUAGCACUGCACAUGAAUGGAAAAUUGGCCCAAUAGCUGUCCUAAAUACUUAACUAUUUUUCAUUAUAAUUUUCUCUAUCCUUUUUUGCCUAUAGUAAAAGGCUAAUGAAAUAUGGAUAAGAACCCCUUCUACUGGGAGGUAUCAAAUAAGGGUACAGAAGAAUUCAUUAUUGAGCCUAGCUUUAAUAAUAUCUUAAGUACCGAGUUGAAAUAUAGGAGAAAUUGUCCAGGUUGUUGAGGGAUUUGCCAGAAGAAAUGAAAAAUGGAAAUGCAGUAAACUCAGUUAUACAAAGAGACCUAGAAAAAUCAGAAACGGGUGAGAUUCGGUCAGAAAGACAGAGAGGAAUAGUGAAGUCUACAGUCAUGAAGACUCAAAAUGACCAAACUUCCAAGACUCUGGAAGUUCAGAGCAAUGUUCGUUUUGAAAUGAAAAUGAUCCUGAAUGGUUUGUGGUACAGACUUGGGGAAACUUUUGAAAAAAACCCUAAAUCUCUUCUUCCACGAGAGAUGGGGAAAAUGUGGCUAAAAUAAAAGCUUCUUCAUAGACUACCCUUUUGUUCAUCCUUAAAUAAAAGACGUUUGGGGUAAAAUUUGGGUUGAAGCUGUAGUAUAGACUUGGGGAUAAUUUUAAAGGAAGCCCCUUGAUUCCGGAAAAAGGUGGCUAAAAAAAACCCCAACCUUUUUUCCAUGGGUUCUCAUUUCUAAGCACAUUACAUAUAAGUCCAGAGGUGCAAAUGGAUUUUAUGUUUGAAACUGUUUAUUUGCUUCUGAUUCGAUACUGAGACUUAUUCAGGCAGCAUGUAGCAGCUACCAUAUGGAGAGAGCUGGGGGCAGAGCUGUUUCUCUCCCAUUGCAUGUGGGGCUGAUCAGGCCAUAGCCAAGUGCCUCACCCCUCAAGCCACCAGGACUGUCAAGUGUCUGCACAGUCAGCCUUCUCUGAUGAGAACUGUUCCAGAUAGGAGAGAGAAGUAGCAUGGACUAGUGGAA